UACGGAGGGGGCAAGCGUUGUUCGGAAUUAUUGGGCGUAAAGCGUAUGUAGGCGGCUAAGCAAGUCAGGCGUGCAAGCCCGUGGCUCAACCACGGAAUUGCGCUUGAAACUGCUUGGCUUGAGUACAGGAGAGGAAGGCGGAAUUCCCAGUGUAGCGGUGAAAUGCAUUGAUAUUGGGAAGAACAUCUGUGGCGAAGGCGGCUUUCUGGGCCAAUACUGACGCUGAGGUUCGAAAGCAUGGGUAGCGAACAGG
Molecule: ribosomal RNA, 253 nt
Filed under: uncultured bacterium
Lineage: Bacteria
Description: partial 16S ribosomal RNA
Rfam family: Bacterial small subunit ribosomal RNA
Source: RNAcentral